GAUUGAACGCUGGCGGCAUGCCUUACACAUGCAAGUCGAACGGCAGCACGGGUGCUUGCACCUGGUGGCGAGUGGCGAACGGGAGAGUAAUACAUCGGAACAUGUCCUGUAGUGGGGGAUAGCCCGGCGAAAGCCGGAUUAAUACCGCAUACGAUCUACGGAUGAAAGCGGGGGACCUUCGGGCCUCGCGCUAUAGGGUUGGCCGAUGGCUGAUUAGCUAGUUGGUGGGGUAAAGGCCUACCAAGGCGACGAUCAGUAGCUGGUCUGAGAGGACGACCAGCCACACUGGGACUGAGACACGGCCCAGACUCCUACGGGAGGCAGCAGUGGGGAAUUUUGGACAAUGGGCGAAAGCCUGAUCCAGCAAUGCCGCGUGUGUGAAGAAGGCCUUCGGGUUGUAAAGCACUUUUGUCCGGAAAGAAAUCCUUGGCCCUAAUACGGUCGGGGGAUGACGGUACCGGAAGAAUAAGCACCGGCUAACUACGUG
RNAcentral lists this ribosomal RNA (487 nucleotides) under uncultured bacterium. Its description in RNAcentral is "partial 16S ribosomal RNA". It matches the Rfam family "Bacterial small subunit ribosomal RNA", at positions 27 to 507 of the family's 1533-position model. The record is from RNAcentral.